AUUGAACGCUGGCGGCAUGCCUUACACAUGCAAGUCGAACGGUAACGGGCCUUCGGGUGCCGACGAGUGGCGCACGGGUGAGUAAUACAUCGGAACGUGCCCGAUCGUGGGGGAUAACGAGGCGAAAGCUUUGCUAAUCCCGCAUACGAUCUACGUAUGACAGCCGGGGACCGCAAGGCCUUGCGCGGACGGAGCGGCCGAUGGCAGAUUAGGUAGUUGGUGGGAUAAAAGCUUACCAAGCCGACGAUCUGUAGCUGGUCUGAGAGGAUGAUCAGCCACACUGGGACUGAGACACGGCCCAGACUCCUACGGGAGGCAGCAGUGGGGAAUUUUGGACAAUGGGCGCAAGCCUGAUCCAGCCAUGCCGCGUGCAGGAUGAAGGCCUUCGGGUUGUAAACUGCUUUUGUACGGAACGAAAAGCCUUCUUUUAAUACAGGAGGGUCAUGACGGUACCGUAGGAAUAAGCACCGGCUAACUACGUG
RNAcentral lists this ribosomal RNA (482 nucleotides) under uncultured bacterium. Its description in RNAcentral is "partial 16S ribosomal RNA". It matches the Rfam family "Bacterial small subunit ribosomal RNA", at positions 30 to 507 of the family's 1533-position model. The record is from RNAcentral.